GGCUGUAUAGCUCAGUUGGCUAGAGCACGCGGUUCAUACCCGCGGUGUCAUUGGUUCAAGUCCAAUUACAGCCACCA
Molecule: transfer RNA, 77 nt
Filed under: Clostridia bacterium
Lineage: Bacteria; Bacillati; Bacillota; Clostridia
Description: tRNA-Met
Rfam family: tRNA
About the family: Transfer RNA (tRNA) molecules are approximately 80 nucleotides in length. Their secondary structure includes four short double-helical elements and three loops (D, anti-codon, and T loops). Further hydrogen bonds mediate the characteristic L-shaped molecular structure. tRNAs have two regions of fundamental functional importance: the anti-codon, which is responsible for specific mRNA codon recognition, and the 3' end, to which the tRNAs corresponding amino acid is attached (by aminoacyl-tRNA synthetases). tRNAs cope with the degeneracy of the genetic code in two manners: having more than one tRNA (with a specific anti-codon) for a particular amino acid; and 'wobble' base-pairing, i.e. permitting non-standard base-pairing at the 3rd anti-codon position.
Source: RNAcentral